Molecule: ribosomal RNA, 411 nt
Filed under: uncultured bacterium
Lineage: Bacteria
Description: bacterial SSU rRNA
Rfam family: Bacterial small subunit ribosomal RNA
Source: RNAcentral
GCGCCAUCAGACGACGUGCCAGCAGCCGCGGUAAUACGUAGGGUGCGAGCGUUGUCCGGAUUUAUUGGGCGUAAAGGGCUCGUAGGUGGUUGAUCGCGUCGGAAGUGUAAUCUUGGGGCUUAACCCUGAGCGUGCUUUCGAUACGGGUUGACUUUGAGGAAGGUAGGGGAGAAUGGAAUUCCUGGUGGAGCGGUGGAAUGCGCAGAUAUCAGGAGGAACACCAGUGGCGAAGGCGGUUCUCUGGGCCUUUCCUGACGCUGAGGAGCGAAAGCGUGGGGAGCGAACAGGCUUAGAUACCCCUGGUAGUCCACGCUGUAAACGGUGGGUACUAGGUGUGGGGUCCAUUCCACGGGUUCCGUGCCGUAGCUAACGCUUUAAGUACCCCGCCUGGGGAGUACGGCCGCAAGGCUA